RNAcentral lists this ribosomal RNA (222 nucleotides) under uncultured bacterium. RNAcentral's name for it is "partial 16S ribosomal RNA". It matches the Rfam family "Bacterial small subunit ribosomal RNA", at positions 114 to 334 of the family's 1533-position model. The record is from RNAcentral.
CGCGUGAGGAACCUGCCUCAAAGAGGGGGACAACAGUUGGAAACGACUGCUAAUACCGCAUAAGCCCACGGGUCGGCAUCGACCAGAGGGAAAAGGAGCAAUCCGCUUUGAGAUGGCCUCGCGUCCGAUUAGCUAGUUGGUGAGGUAACGGCCCACCAAGGCAACGAUCGGUAGCCGGACUGAGAGGUUGAACGGCCACAUUGGGACUGAGACACGGCCCAG